RNAcentral lists this ribosomal RNA (525 nucleotides) under uncultured bacterium. RNAcentral describes it as "partial 16S ribosomal RNA". It matches the Rfam family "Bacterial small subunit ribosomal RNA", at positions 355 to 873 of the family's 1533-position model. The record is from RNAcentral.
UGGGGAAUUUUGGACAAUGGGCGAAAGCCUGAUCCAGCAAUGCCGCGUGUGUGAAGAAGGCCUUCGGGUUGUAAAGCACUUUUGUCCGGAAAGAAAUCCUUGGCUCUAAUACAGUCGGGGGAUGACGGUACCGGAAGAAUAAGCACCGGCUAACUACGUGCCAGCAGCCGCGGUAAUACGUAGGGUGCAAGCGUUAAUCGGAAUUACUGGGCGUAAAGCGUGCGCAGGCGGUUUGCUAAGACCGAUGUGAAAUCCCCGGGCUCAACCUGGGAACUGCAUUGGUGACUGGCAGGCUAGAGUAUGGCAGAGGGGGGUAGAAUUCCACGUGUAGCAGUGAAAUGCGUAGAGAUGUGGAGGAAUACCGAUGGCGAAGGCAGCCCCCUGGGCAAGUACUGACGCUCAUGCACGAAAGCGUGGGGAGCAAACNGGAUUAAUNCCCUGGUAGUCCACGCCCUAAANGAUGUCAACUAGUUGUUGGGGAUUCAUUUUCCUUAGUAACGUAGCUAACGCGUGAAGUUGACCGCC